AGUGAACGCUGGCGGCGUGCCUAACACAUGCAAGUCGAACGAUGAUGGAGGAGCUUGCUCUUCCUGAUUAGUGGCGCACGGGUGAGUAUACCAUAGAUAAUGUGCCCCUUAGUUCGGGAUAGCCACUGGAAACGGUGAUUAAUACCGGAUACUCCUUCUCGCCAUAAGGUAAGUCGGGAAAGUUUUUUCGCUAAGGGAUCAGUCUAUGUCCUAUCAGGUAGUUGGUGAGGUAACGGCUCACCAAGCCUAUGACGGGUAUCUGGUUUGAGAGGAUGAUCAGACACACUGGAACUGAGACAUGGUCCAGACUCCUACGGGAGGCAGCAGUGAGGAAUAUUGCACAAUGGAGGAAACUCUGAUGCAGCAACGCCGCGUGGAGGAUGACGCAUUUCGGUGUGUAAACUCCUUUUAAGAGGGAAGAUUAUGACGGUACCUCUUGAAUAAGCACCGGCUAACUCCGUGCCAGCAGCCGCAGUAA
This 478-nucleotide ribosomal RNA is filed under the name uncultured bacterium. RNAcentral describes it as "partial 16S ribosomal RNA". It matches the Rfam family "Bacterial small subunit ribosomal RNA", at positions 29 to 523 of the family's 1533-position model. The record is from RNAcentral.